UCAAAGGCAAACUGGUGUUUGUAGAAUUUGAAAAUUAAGAACAGGUAGGUUGCUAAGUAAUUGAAGUGUUUACUUAGAACUGCAGCCAUAAUGUUUUACUGUUUUGAACUAGGAAAAAUGAUGUUAAAAUGCACAUUUAAAUUCAUGAUGUAUAGAACUCAUGAAUGAGAUUUCUUCGCUCAUUAGACACUAUAGAUACUGAAUGAUUUUUUGUUGUUGUUGUUUUUGAGAUGGAGUCUUGUUCUGUCACCCAGGCUGGAAUACAGUGGCACGAUCUCGGCUCACUGCAAGCUCUACCUCCCAGGUUCAAGUGAUUCUCCUGCCUCAGCCUCCCGAGUAGCUGGGACUACAGGUGCAUGCCACCACACCCAGGAGACCAGGUCUCAUUCUGUUCCUCAGGCUGGAGUGCAGUGACACAGAAUUCACUGUAAGCUUGAACUCCUGAGCUCAAGUGAUCCUCUUUCCUUUGUCUCUCGAGUAGCUGUGACUACAGGUGCAUGCCACCAUGCCUCAGCCUCUCAACGCACUGGGAUUAAAGAUUCAGAAAAAGGAAGAAUUCUGGACUUGCUUUUCAUGUCGUCUCCACGAAGACGUUAAGAAGAGCUGCUCUGCACCCAUCCUGUUUGUAAAAACAGCCUUCCCUGAGGAACCCCACACCAUUAUUGUUCUCCCCGUUCCUGUUGGUAAUUGAUUCAGGAAGCUUUCUUGAAGAAUGGGGGUUUCUACUUCAUUAUCACUACUGCUGAAUAUGUUACACAGGGAUGGUAAAAAAUUUUAAUGCAACAAAAUGAAUAGCAAUACAACUAUAAUGAAUAUAAUUUAGGCCUUCAGGGUACAGAAUUUGCAGUGCUGCAAACGUUCAUUUUGAACAUCAAUGAUAAUUACAUUGUAGCUAUAAAAAUAUAGAAAAUGGACUGAAAUGA
Symphalangus syndactylus (siamang) is the source of this 923-nucleotide long non-coding RNA. RefSeq lists it as uncharacterized. Lineage: Eukaryota; Metazoa; Chordata; Mammalia; Primates; Hylobatidae. The record is from RefSeq and is a predicted model, not a curated record.